ACUCCUACGGGAGGCAGCAGUGGGGAAUAUUGCACAAUGGGGGAAACCCUGAUGCAGCCAUGCCGCGUGUGUGAAGAAGGCCUUCGGGUUGUAAAGUACUUUCAGCAGUGAGGAAGGUGGGUGUGUUAAUAGCAUACUCAUUUGACGUUAGCAACAGAAGAAGCACCGGCUAACUCCGUGCCAGCAGCCGCGGUAAUACGGAGGGUGCGAGCGUUAAUCGGAAUUACUGGGCGUAAAGCGCAUGCAGGUGGUUUGUUAAGUCAGAUGUGAAAGCCCGGGGCUCAACCUCGGAACUGCAUUUGAAACUGGCAGACUAGAGUACUGUAGAGGGGGUAGAAUUUCAGGUGUAGCGGUGAAAUGCGUAGAGAUCUGAAGGAAUACCGGUGGCGAAGGCGGCCCCCUGGACAGAUACUGACACUCAGAUGCGAAAGCGUGGGGAGCAAACAGGAUUAGAUACCCUGGUAGGAUAG
Molecule: ribosomal RNA, 470 nt
Filed under: uncultured bacterium
Lineage: Bacteria
Description: bacterial SSU rRNA
Rfam family: Bacterial small subunit ribosomal RNA
Source: RNAcentral